Molecule: ribosomal RNA, 387 nt
Filed under: uncultured bacterium
Lineage: Bacteria
Description: bacterial SSU rRNA
Rfam family: Bacterial small subunit ribosomal RNA
Source: RNAcentral
GACGAACGCUGGCGGCGUGCUUAACACAUGCAAGUCGAGCGGUAAGGCCCUUUCGGGGGUACACGAGCGGCGAACGGGUGAGUAACACGUGGGUGACCUGCCCUCAGCUCUGGGAUAAGCCUGGGAAACCGGGUCUAAUACUGGAUAUGACUCCAUGACGCAUGUUGUGGGGUGGAAAGCCUUGUGCGGCUGAGGAUGGGCCCGCGGCCUAUCAGCUUGUUGGUGGGGUGAGGCCUACCAAGGCGACGACGGGUAGCCGGCCUGAGAGGGCGACCGGCCACACUGGGACUGAGACACGGCCCAGACUCCUACGGGAGGCAGCAGUGGGGAAUCUUGCACAAUGGGCGAAAGCCUGACGCAGCGACGCCGCGUGAGGGAUGACGGCCU